RNAcentral lists this ribosomal RNA (882 nucleotides) under Triticum aestivum (bread wheat). RNAcentral's name for it is "partial small subunit ribosomal RNA". Lineage: Eukaryota; Viridiplantae; Streptophyta; Magnoliopsida; Poales; Poaceae. The record is from RNAcentral.
AUGGUUUUGUUUGCUGCAACUUCCCAAGACGCCUGGACAACCCUAGAGAGUAGUUUCUCCUCCCAAUCCACGGCGCGCUCCAUGGCUCUUCGUCGGCAACUUCAGGAUAUUAAGAAGCUUGAUCUCUCGGCCACCGUCUACUUCAACAAAGUUAAAACCCUAGCCGAUACUCUUGCUGCCAUCGGGAAGCCUCUAGGCGAUGAGGAGUUCACCGGAUUUAUUCUGGGUGGUUUGGAUGGUGAUUAUGACUCGCUGAUCGAGGUUGUCCAAGGACGCGACACUCCGAUGCCUCCUCGCGAUCUUUAUGCUCGACUUCUUCAGACUGAGCAACGCAUUGAGUCUCGACGAUCGGUUGAGGUUCAUGGUGGUUUCUCCAUAGCUAAUGAUGUGACUCGUGGCGGUCCACGACAACCCUACCGCACCGGUGGGAACAUGUCUUCUUCGUCGGGUGGCAAGGCAAUUCUUCCCUCGCCAUCACAACAGCAGCAGAGCUUCACCAACAACAAGUCUGGAUCCUCCUGCCCUACGUGUGGUCGUCCUAACGGCGGUCGCCCCACGUGCCAGCUCUGUGGGUUUCAGGGGCAUGUUGCAUCUCGCUGCCACAAACGCUUUAAGCGUGAUUUUCUAGGGAUCGGCAAUGAUGGACGCAACAAUGAGAGGCAGGCUGCCAUGGCUACUCAAGGACCCAUUGGCUCUGGUGGUUCUGGCCACGGGCACACUCCCUCCUACCCCAUUGAUUCAAGCUGGUACAUGGAUACUGCAGCUACGGAUCACAUGACCAGUGAGAUGGACAAGUUACACUCAAGCCAACCCUACCUCGGCCAUGACAAGGUUCACGUUGCAAACGGGUCAGGAUCGCGCAACGAGGGACGUUCUUCUUAG